Equus caballus (horse) is the source of this 4687-nucleotide long non-coding RNA. NCBI's taxonomy places the organism in Eukaryota, Metazoa, Chordata, Mammalia, Perissodactyla, Equidae. The record is from Ensembl.
CAGCAGGGGACUGGUUAAAAGGGGUUAUCUUAUACCAUUUUAGGAAGAUGAUCUAAGUUCCUUUUAUGAUUAUCAGAGGCACUUACAAGAAAUAACCUAAGUUUUGCUUUUGUUUAAGAAAGAAGGUAGAUUUGCUUACAUGGCGUCAGUGGUUUUGUCUGCUCAGGGGAUUUUCAAGCCUGGUCUCCAUUUUAUUUUAUUUUAUUUUAACAAGGAUUAAUACUCUGUUGGAGAGACAAGCUUGUAAACAGAGGCAAUGGCUGUGAAUGGUGCUGUACUGGGGGUGUGUACCAGGUCAUCAAUGAGCCAUGGUCACAUCUACUGAGAGCUGACUUACUUCUCAUGGAAAGAAGAUGAAAUGGCAACUGUGUGCAGAGCUGCAGGUCCCAUUGCAUGUAAGGACUCCAAGCAAACCUGGCCCCUCACUGAGACAAACUAAAGCAAAUAGCCCGGAUGACAACCAGCAGACAACCUAUGGCUGGUAUCAGUGAGAAAUCUCUAGAAACUAUAAAGUAGAUAGAACCAACGCUUGCGAAAGGGGCCACUCAAAAAGGAUGAAGACCCUGGCCUCCAUCCUUGCCUGUGACCCCUGGCUCAGAGGUCUGUGACAUCCCCACUGGGCAGCUGGCCUUCUAUUGUGUCCAAACAGCUUUUCGAGCAGCCCAAGAGCUGUAUUAUCCCUGCCACUCCCCUGUCACGACACCACAUUACUGUGUCUGCUCAGACCCAGCACCUCCCAGAAAACAAACGCAAAGGGAGCAGGGAAGUGCAGGCAGAGAGGGAUGCAGAGAGGUGGAGAGAGCACCCGGGAAAUGAGGUUUCGGGUGCCAGCAUUGGGUCUGGUGGGAGGAGCAGGGCUGCACCCAGUGAUGUAAGGAGACACGGGGAGCCGGCUUCCCACAGCCACCUGUCUUCCGGGGACCAAUGGGAAGCCUUAUUUGGCUGGCAACCAGGUCAAGCGUUGUUUUAUGUGGCUGAAAAAUAAAGCCUAGGUCAAUCUAAAAAUGUUCUACUUCAAGAUUUUGAAGAAGAAUUUAAAAACUUCUUUUGUACAAGGGAGAAGGCAAAUGCCACAUGGGUCAAGAUCAGAAAGUUUUUAGGAGUUGAACCAGCUGAGUGAACAACUCACUUCAACUAACUGAGUUGAAAUAAAGACAGUGAGAUAAAAAUAAAAUUUGACCAGAUUUUAAAACUCAGAUGAACUAUUGAGAAAGGAUUAUAGCAGCUAACAGUGCAAUAACAGAGUUCAAAUUCACACUGAAGGAUCCUGCUUGGUGACCUAGUAGUUGGCUAUGGUGUGUUCUGCUUUGGCAGUGUGGGUUGGGAUCCCAGGUAUGAACCUACAUCGCUUGUCAGCAGCCAUGCUGUGGCAGUGUCCCACAUACAAAAUAGAGGAAGUCUGGCAACAGAUGUUAGCUCAGGGUGAAUCUUCCUCAGCAAAAAAAAACCCAAAAAAUCCACAUUGAAGACUGGAACCAAUGCUGGCGGACAAAGAAUCAGUCAUGUGGAGGGUAGAUGUGAAAAGCUAACCCAGAAUUCAGAUCAAAUGGAAGAAGAAGAUGCACUAGAUGAGAGGGUAUUAAUACAUAUUGGAAUAGGGAGAGAAAAAUCAAUUUAUGAACCAACUUAUUGAUAUUCAUAAUGAAGAGAACGAAAUCAAAGGCAUUCCAGGUAAUUAUAAGACAAGCUUCCUGAAUGGAAAGGAGACUGAAUAUGCAUUGAAAGGACUCCCUAAGAGAGCAAGGAGAAAACAAAAUGCAAUGUGAUGGUGAAUUUUAGUACUCCUCCCAAUCUCCAGAAGAAAGAGAGAAACUAGCUAAUUGAAGACUUGAAUAAUACAAUUAAUAAGGAUUGUAAUGUAUACACACACAUAAAUAAUAGGAUUUUGUUCCCUCGAAGUGACUACACCUGUGGAAAUAUUUCAGCAGUCAAGAAACAUUAGACAUUUUUAGCAUCUGUUACUCAAGGAGGAAGAGCUCAAUAAAUUUACAAAAGUUUUGGGCGCAUACAGGAGCCAUUGCACUAUUUUCUGUCUCCCUGGAGAUGAUUCUACGAGCUGCUGCACGUUGAGGGGUUGCUUUGGUGAAGUUGCGCCUGGGGAGAUUCCCCUGAUCUGUGGGGCCGACAUGAACCCCAAGGAGGGAGGUAAGAGGGAAAGCAACGAUCAUACGGAUUUGAAGGUGGUGAGUGAGAGGGCCAGACGGUGGAAUUGGCUAUGAAGAGCCACGCGACAUGAAGCAAGCUAAUGAAAGCCUGAGGGAGCAUCAACUGAGUCAGAUCAAAUUCCAAAUUGAUCAGACCAGCCAAUCAAAGAAAUGACACACGUGGAAAUGGAGAAUGCUCGUAAGAUGAUGUUCAAUGCCAGAUAAAGAUAUCAAGUAAAAAAACAAAAAUAUCCCAAAGCACAGGCAAACAAAAGCCCCUUAUUUUUUCCAGAGCUGGGCAAGCAUGGACAAUAAUAUAUUCACUCUCGGGACACCAUGAGUUGGUGGCGCCAUAUGCUAACUAUAACAGUGGUUUGUUCCUGGUCUUCAGUUGCCCCCAACCCCUACCCUAUUCCUCUACUAUACACGAAAUAGCUGGAAUGUGUGCGCUCAGGUGUAAUGCUUUCUUUUUAUACCCUAAAUUGUCAACUCUAUGUUUCAAUCAACAUCAACGAUAAAUGAGGUGAGCAGAAAAAUUGGUUCUCAAAAAAUACACUCUUUUCUUUCAGGAGUGACAUGCUUACUCAAGUUUUUUUAUGUUUAUAUGUCAGUAAGCUAUUUUGAUCUCAGUGUUUAACAAUAAACAAACACAAACAAAAACCUUUCACACACUCUUUGACUGGAUUUUGCUUUUUAUCAUUUAUUAUAUAUUCCUGUCAAUUGUACGGCAUUCUGUCUUUCAAUAGGACUAAAUUAUUCUAACAAAACUGAUACUAGGUAAAUUCUCCUUCAAGUCAAAUGUCUUGUUAAAAAAUGUCUUUUGAAAACGUGUACAGGCCACACAACCUUUUAAAAGACAGACCGAGGAGAUCUUCCAGAUUGAAGGAGGCUAAUUUGACGAGAUGACCAAAUGCAGUCUGUGACCCUGGGUUGGAGCCUGAACCAGAAUUUUAUUUGCUUGUUUGUUUUCUAUAAAGAACAUUAGUGGAGCAUUUGGAAAAACUUGAAAAACUUCUGUAGAUUAGAUGUUAGUACUGUAUCAAGCUUAGAUCUUGAUUUUAAUCAUUGCACUGUGUUUAGAUAAGAGCACGCAUUUGUUUUUAAGAAAUGCACACUGAAGUAUUUAUGGAUAAAAUGGCAUCAUGUCUGUGGCAUUGUGUUUGCAACUGUGGCAUGCAGAAUUCUAGAGGCAAGGACAAAAAAGAAAGGAAUAUGUAUUCUCACAAUACUGUAAUAAUAAAUUAGGAAAUUUGGUCAGAAUAUCAAAUUGAACUCUCAAGAAUCGGAAAUUUUACCCAUUAUUAAGCUUUACUAUUGAUUCGAAAGGUACAGGUAAUCAUGAGAAAUCAAGGGGAAGACAAGACCACCAGUGCAAUUCCCAGCUUCUUGUUUGCCAAGAUUUAUCAUAUGGGGCUCCCAGUCGGAUAUGCAGGGCAUUGCUCUCACAAAGGGGCCAUUUCAACCAUGAAAUAUCUUUAUUUUAUAUCCUAAUAAUUAUGUACUUGUCAUUGAUGUUUUCCAGGGGCCCAUGUGCUAUAAAUCUACAGAUCUUAUGUUGGUACCCGUUAUUAUACACGAAACCUGGACAGACCGGGUACAACCUGCUGAAAGCAUUCUGUAGAUGAGGACUCUCAUCUUUCCACUAGUAAAUAUCACGAGGAAGUCUAAUUAGUAUGUUUCCAAGAUCUGAGCAAAUCCUUUCUUUCUUUUUUCUCUGUCUCCUCUUAGUCCUGUAUCACAGAGCCCGGUUAACUCUUUCCUUCCCAAGACCCACAACAUCCCCUAAUUUGUCUGGGAGUAUAUGGUUCUAUGUCUGUUUUCUCAGCAUCCUUCUGAUCAGCACCGCUUUUUAACCUUAAAAGUGUUCCACUUUGAAAAAUAAAUUAUUGAUCAUCCUAACUAUAAUCGAUCACGGAAGAAUUUUUUUUAAAAGGCACCAGGCUUAAGUAGUUUUAUGCAAAUAAUUUCAAAAUUUUAAAGAAAGUUAUUGUUAAUUAUAUACUAUUCCAAGGUGUAGCAGAUAUAAUGAAAAGCUUUCCAGUUGUUUGUUUUAUAUAGCAAGAAUAACCAUGAUACCACAGUAGGACGAAUGUUGCACAAAUAAAAGUUACUACAAAUCUAUCAAAGUUUAUUAGCUCUUGAAGUAUGGCUGGGUAUAGAGAGCGAUUGAUCAAAUAAAAAAAUCUGUCUGGUUCUGUCAUUUGCUUCUGAUCUCCUCUGUGUCGGCUUCAUCCUAGGGCGGACAUCCGUCAUGUAUAUAUCACUUACCUAAUGCAUAUUAUAAGAGAACACAUUUAUUCUGAAAAUCGUCCAUUUCAAUAUUGUCUUUGAUGUUAAUAACAAAACUUUGGUUUGAACCUUCCUGAGUUUGCUAAUUGUAAUGGGUGAUACAUGCGAUGAGUGGUAAAGGCAGAAGGAAAAGUUGACAGCCAUUCUGAAAUCUUGAUCAAAUGGAGUUCCAUUAGGAGCAAUUCUCAUUAAAGCAAGAGAGAUGGGUGAAUUACUUGGAGCUUUAGGAAAGAACAGUUUUCCUGAAUAAAGAC